RNAcentral lists this ribosomal RNA (620 nucleotides) under uncultured bacterium. RNAcentral's name for it is "bacterial SSU rRNA". It matches the Rfam family "Bacterial small subunit ribosomal RNA", at positions 202 to 823 of the family's 1533-position model. The record is from RNAcentral.
AAGAUUUAUCGGUGAUGGAUGGGGAUGCGUCUGAUUAGCUUGUUGGCGGGGUAACGGCCCACCAAGGCAACGAUCAGUAGGGGUUCUGAGAGGAAGGUCCCCCCACAUUGGAACUGAGACACGGUCCAAACUCCUACGGGAGGCAGCAGUGAGGAAUAUUGGUCAAUGGACGAGAGUCUGAACCAGCCAAGUAGCGUGCAGGAUGACGGCCCUAUGGGUUGUAAACUGCUUUUAUAAGGGAAUAAAGUGAGUCUCGUGAGACUUUUUGCAUGUACCUUAUGAAUAAGGACCGGCUAAUUCCGUGCCAGCAGCCGCGGUAAUACGGAAGGUCCGGGCGUUAUCCGGAUUUAUUGGGUUUAAAGGGAGCGUAGGCCGGAGAUUAAGCGUGUUGUGAAAUGUAGACGCUCAACGUCUGCACUGCAGCGCGAACUGGUUUCCUUGAGUACGCACAAAGUGGGCGGAAUUCGUGGUGUAGCGGUGAAAUGCUUAGAUAUCACGAAGAACUCCGAUUGUGAAGGCAGCUCACUGGAGCGCAACUGACGCUGAAGCUCGAAAGUGCGGGUAUCGAACAGGAUUAGAUACCCUGGUAGUCCGCACGGUAAACGAUGGAUGCCCGCUGU